RNAcentral lists this ribosomal RNA (521 nucleotides) under uncultured bacterium. RNAcentral describes it as "partial 16S ribosomal RNA". It matches the Rfam family "Bacterial small subunit ribosomal RNA", at positions 29 to 523 of the family's 1533-position model. The record is from RNAcentral.
AAUGAACGCUGGCGGCGUGGUUAAGAAAUGCAAGUCGAACGGUUUUUCGGUGGUAGCAAUACAACUGAAAAGCAGUGGCGAACGGGUGCGUAAGACGUGCACAAUUUAGCUUCAAAUGGGGAAGAGCUCGGCGAAAGCCGGAUUAAUACCGCAUGUGGUUGGCAGCUUAGUGGUUGACAUACUAAAGUCGGGGACAGAAAGGCCUGCCGUCUGAAGAGAAGUUCGCGGCCUAUCAGCUAGCUGGCGGGGUAACGGCCCACCAAGGCUAAGACGGGUAGCAGGUCUGAGAGGAUGAUCAGCCACACUGGAACUGAGAAACGGUCCAGACACCUACGGGUGGCAGCAGUUUCGAAUCAUUCACAAUGGGCGAAAGCCUGAUGGUGCGACGCCGCGUGAGGGAUUAAGGUCUUCGGAUUGUAAACCUCUUUCACCGGGGAAGAAACGCUUCAAUUUAACAGAUUGAAGCCUGACUUAACCCGGAGAGGAAGCAGUGGCUAACUCUGUGCCAGCAGCCGCCGCCG